CACGGCCCAGACUCCUACGGGAGGCAGCAGUGGGGAAUAUUGGACAAUGGGGGCAACCCUGAUCCAGCCAUCCCGCGUGUGCGAUGAAGGCCUUCGGGUUGUAAAGCACUUUUGGCAGGAAAGAAACGUCGCGGGCUAAUACCCCGUGGAACUGACGGUACCUGCAGAAUAAGCACCGGCUAACUCUGUGCCAGCAGCCGCGGUAAUACGGAGGGUGCAAGCGUUAAUCGGAAUUACUGGGCGUAAAGCGUGCGCAGGCGGUUUUGUAAGACCGAUGUGAAAUCCCCGGGCUCAACCUGGGAACU
RNAcentral lists this ribosomal RNA (305 nucleotides) under Chaetoceros curvisetus. Its description in RNAcentral is "partial Bacterial small subunit ribosomal RNA". It matches the Rfam family "Bacterial small subunit ribosomal RNA", at positions 325 to 622 of the family's 1533-position model. Lineage: Eukaryota; Bacillariophyta; Thalassiosirophyceae; Chaetocerotales; Chaetocerotaceae. The record is from RNAcentral.